UCGUGGGAGAUCCGGGCCUUCGGGCCUGGAGGAGACCGGCGGACGGGUGAGUAACGCGUAGGCAACCUGCCCUUAGGAGAAGGAUAACUCGUCGAAAGAUGGGCUAAUACUUCAUGAUGCAGCGGGGUCGCAUGACCACAGUUGUUAAAGCCCUUCGGGGUGCCUAGGGAUGGGCCUGCGUGACAUUAGUUAGUUGGUGAGGUAAGAGCUCACCAAGGCGAUGAUGUCUAGGGGGUCUGAGAGGAUGAUCCCCCACACGGGGACUGAGACACGGCCCCGACUCCUACGGGAGGCAGCAGUGAGGAAUCUUGCGCAAUGGGGGCAACCCUGACGCAGCCACGCCGCGUGCUGGAAGAAGGCCCUAUGGGUCGUAAACAGCUUUUCUACGGGAAGAAGGGGGUCCCGAUUUGUCGGGACUUGACGGUACCGUAGGAAUAAGCAACCGGCUAACUCCGUGCCCGGCAGGCCCGCCGGUAA
RNAcentral lists this ribosomal RNA (477 nucleotides) under uncultured bacterium. Its description in RNAcentral is "bacterial SSU rRNA". It matches the Rfam family "Bacterial small subunit ribosomal RNA", at positions 62 to 523 of the family's 1533-position model. The record is from RNAcentral.